This 696-nucleotide ribosomal RNA is filed under the name uncultured bacterium. Its description in RNAcentral is "bacterial SSU rRNA". It matches the Rfam family "Bacterial small subunit ribosomal RNA", at positions 32 to 715 of the family's 1533-position model. The record is from RNAcentral.
AACGCUAGCUACAGGCUUAACACAUGCAAGUCGAGGGGAAACGACAUUGAAAGCUUGCUUUUGAUGGGCGUCGACCGGCGCACGGGUGAGUAACGCGUAUCCAACCUGCCCACCACUUGGGGAUAACCUUGCGAAAGUAAGACUAAUACCCAAUGAUAUCUCUAGAAGACAUCUGAAAGAGAUUAAAGAUUUAUCGGUGAUGGAUGGGGAUGCGUCUGAUUAGCUUGUUGGCGGGGUAACGGCCCACCAAGGCGACGAUCAGUAGGGGUUCUGAGAGGAAGGUCCCCCACAUUGGAACUGAGACACGGUCCAAACUCCUACGGGAGGCAGCAGUGAGGAAUAUUGGUCAAUGGGCGAGAGCCUGAACCAGCCAAGUAGCGUGCAGGAUGACGGCCCUAUGGGUUGUAAACUGCUUUUAUAAGGGAAUAAAGUGAGUCUCGUGAGACUUUUUGCAUGUACCUUAUGAAUAAGGACCGGCUAAUUCCGUGCCAGCAGCCGCGGUAAUACGGAAGGUCCGGGCGUUAUCCGGAUUUAUUGGGUUUAAAGGGAGCGUAGGCCGGAGAUUAAGCGUGUUGUGAAAUGUAGACGCUCAACGUCUGCACUGCAGCGCGAACUGGUUUCCUUGAGUACGCACAAAGUGGGCGGAAUUCGUGGUGUAGCGGUGAAAUGCUUAGAUAUCACGAAGAACUCCGAUUG